GAUGAACGCUGGCGGCGUGCUUAACACAUGCAAGUCGAACGAAGCACUUUGGACAGAUUCUUCGGAUGAAGUUUUUGGUGACUGAGUGGCGGACGGGUGAGUAACGCGUGGGUAACCUGCCUCAUACAGGGGGAUAACAGUUAGAAAUGGCUGCUAAUACCGCAUAAGCGCACGGUACUGCAUGGUACAGUGUGAAAAACUCCGGUGGUAUGAGAUGGACCCGCGUUGGAUUAGCUAGUUGGCAGGGUAACGGCCUACCAAGGCGACGAUCCAUAGCCGGCCUGAGAGGGUGGACGGCCACAUUGGGACUGAGACACGGCCCAGACUCCUACGGGAGGCAGCAGUGGGGAAUAUUGCACAAUGGGGGAAACCCUGAUGCAGCGACGCCGCGUGAGCGAAGAAGUAUUUCGGUAUGUAAAGCUCUAUCAGCAGGGAAGAAAAUGACGGUAC
This 450-nucleotide ribosomal RNA is filed under the name uncultured bacterium. RNAcentral's name for it is "SSU rRNA". It matches the Rfam family "Bacterial small subunit ribosomal RNA", at positions 28 to 478 of the family's 1533-position model. The record is from RNAcentral.